GCCGCCGUAGCUCAGUUGGUAGAGCGUCGCCAUGGUAAGGCGAAGGUCUCGGGUUCGAUUCCCGACGGUGGCUCCA
RNAcentral lists this transfer RNA (76 nucleotides) under Candidatus Uhrbacteria bacterium. Its description in RNAcentral is "tRNA-Thr". It matches the Rfam family "tRNA". Rfam says of the family: Transfer RNA (tRNA) molecules are approximately 80 nucleotides in length. Lineage: Bacteria; Candidatus Uhriibacteriota. The record is from RNAcentral.